This 339-nucleotide ribosomal RNA is filed under the name Enterococcus faecalis. Its description in RNAcentral is "bacterial SSU rRNA". It matches the Rfam family "Bacterial small subunit ribosomal RNA", at positions 473 to 811 of the family's 1533-position model. Lineage: Bacteria; Bacillati; Bacillota; Bacilli; Lactobacillales; Enterococcaceae. The record is from RNAcentral.
CGGUACCGGAAGAAUAAGCACCGGCUAACUUCGUGCCAGCAGCCGCGGUAAUACGUAGGGUGCAAGCGUUAAUCGGAAUUACUGGGCGUAAAGCGUGCGCAGGCGGUUAUGCAAGACAGAGGUGAAAUCCCCGGGCUCAACCUGGGAACUGCCUUUGUGACUGCAUGGCUAGAGUACGGUAGAGGGGGAUGGAAUUCCGCGUGUAGCAGUGAAAUGCGUAGAUAUGCGGAGGAACACCGAUGGCGAAGGCAAUCCCCUGGACCUGUACUGACGCUCAUGCACGAAAGCGUGGGGAGCAAACAGGAUUAGAUACCCUGGUAGUCCACGCCCUAAACGAUG